RNAcentral lists this unclassified non-coding RNA (200 nucleotides) under Sebacina sp. RNAcentral describes it as "partial internal transcribed spacer 2". Lineage: Eukaryota; Fungi; Basidiomycota; Agaricomycetes; Sebacinales; Sebacinaceae. The record is from RNAcentral.
UUAAGUUCAGCGGGUAGUCCUACUCGAUUUGAGGUCAAGUUGUCAGAGAGUGUCCUAAGACAGUUAGAAGCCCAGAGCUCCCAAUCGGCCACCCUCUUUCGAGGCGCCGGCGAAGACACUUAUCACGCCGUACUAUGUCCAACCAGGAGGUGCACUAAUGCAUUUGAGGCAAGCUGCAGUAAAGCAGCAAUGCCCAAGUC